GAGAAGGCGUUUUAUCUAUUAAAACACAGAGAUAAUCUCGAGAAGCCGUGGGACAAAGGACAGUAGGGCGUAGGUUGCGUGUCUCAGGAAUUAACAUUUUGAAUGGAAUGGAACUGAAGACUCAGCAGCCUUGGAGCAGCUUUUAUGCUAAUUGAGGAAACUAAGAAUCUUCACCCUCAGCGUGAAAAAACCUCCAACGGACCAUAAAACCAAACGUGUAAAAGACACAGAAACUCAACUGGGAAAAAAGAACCCCCAAAAGCCGUUAGUUCAGUGACGAGCUGAGUAGUCUCCAGCCAAAGCUUCCAGGAGACCAUGAAUUUAAAACUAGCGGCCGCACAAAAUUUUAUUGAAAAUAAUGUCAGGAUCUGAGAUCUGUAAGAGGACUCUUCUGUGCAGACCAGAAGAGAGUAGCUCUCCCCAGCCCCUCAUGCAGCGAGAAAAUGUAUGCAGCUGAAGUAAACGGCCCUGCACAGCGUUGCCAGCCGUAUAACUCUUAACAACC
This 505-nucleotide long non-coding RNA is filed under the name Pan troglodytes (chimpanzee). RNAcentral's name for it is "long non-coding RNA NONPTRT016282". Lineage: Eukaryota; Metazoa; Chordata; Mammalia; Primates; Hominidae. The record is from RNAcentral.